Molecule: RNA transcript, 8357 nt
Organism: Haliotis rufescens (red abalone)
Lineage: Eukaryota; Metazoa; Mollusca; Gastropoda; Lepetellida; Haliotidae
Gene name: calponin homology domain-containing protein DDB_G0272472-like
Exons: 15
Source: RefSeq, a predicted model, not a curated record
CCAGGAGAGUCGGAUUUCAAAUUCCUCCACAAACACAGGCAUGGCAUCUUAUAGUUGACUCUGGUUAUACCAAGGGGAGCUUUCAACCCACAAAUUUUCGAAAAAAAGAGGGUAUUCACCAUCAAACCCACUUUGACCACUGGGCAACAACUCAAGCUAUCAAGGUUGCUUCUAACCAGGGGACGAGUGCUGGGGCCUGGGUCUGUGGCCUGCAACCAGUGCCCGACCACCGCCGCCGCCACACUCCACGCUCAUCACGUCACUGCACACACAAGUACAUCACCCUCAUCAGUUUGAGGCUUGCAGUACCAGUACAAGUAGUAGAUGGAAAAAGAGCCAUCCUACAGGAAAGAUAAUGAUAAUUUGGUUGUAGACGUGAAAUACACAAAGCGCCAAGUUCUACCGGCUGUCAAACUAGAGCGGAAGAACAUUACCAUGACUAAACCCCCUGACACGGUUCCCUGCAUAGUGACCGUAACCGAAGAUGAAACUGUCGAAACUACCGGUCCAGCAACAACGACAACAACAACAACAGAAACUACUACUACAUCAACUGUGGGUGGAAGCACAAGUCCACUGGGAGAGGAAGAAGAAACAACAGAAACAACAGAAACAACAGAAACAUCAGAACAGGGUGUGCCCGAAACCAACGGACAUACGGAGGAAUUACAAGAAACAGAAAAGCCUGGCAGUAGGCUUACAGUGCAGUUUGCGGAGCUGCCACCAAAGAGAACAAGUGAAAACGUUAUGGAAUUUUUGGAAGAACAAGAAAAAUCACUUACAGAGCAGUUUAAGGCCUUGCCGACAAAAGCACGGAAGACGAGGUCCCCCAGCCCCAGCACCCUGCGGCAGAGUGUUGGACUGGAUCAUCUGGACAAUCUGGUCCGGCUCAUGGAACAGCUUGCACAGCUUCGGGACGAGAACACACAUCUCAAGAAGAAGUGUGCCUACCUGGAGAGCACCAAGCACCUGCUCCAAGCCAAGACAUCACUCGGAGAUGAAGCCUUACCCAUUGGGUAUAGCUCAUUACCUUCAAAGGCUAAGCCGAAAUUGAGGAAAUCUAAUACUGAUCCCGAGUCAAAAGAUUCAGGUGGAGGCCACAGAUCCAGGCCCCGCCUGCCCAGUGCUGAGGAUGCCGCUAGUAUGGACUAUGGAGAAUCAUCAUCUGAUCAGAGUCCUAAGAGACCCAAACCUGGGACACUGAAAAAGCGGAGUUUUUCAACAGGGUCUUUAGAUGUUUCAUCAGAGAUCAUGGAUGAAACAAGAGAUGAACAUGGUCAUCGAAAAGGAGGCUUGACCAAAUCAAAAAGUGGCAAAGAAGGCACAAGAGGAUUUUUUGGGCACAAAUCUCAAAAGUCAAAAUCCUCAAAGAGUUCCAAAUGGGCAAGAGUUAAGAAAGUUUUAACAGGGCAAAAACUAUAUGAAGAUUUAGGUUUUAGCUUUAAAUUUGGAAAAGGAACUCAUGUGAGAUAUCACUCUGUGGGCUCGCCACAAGAACUCAGUCCCCCGAGCCAUCGGGUCAUGGAUGGCAGAUCCUUGGACUCAGGGGUGAGUAGCAGUCUGGAUGUGGAUGGACAUCCGCGGACAUCCACAUCCUCUGCUGAACCCCCGAGUCCAAGCAAAUCUCCCAAUCAGACCGAAGAUCGGGAACUUGAUCUUACAACCGAUAUCUGGAUGGGUCCACAAGAUUGGAUCGACCAACAUGAAAGUCGCAAAGAAAGUGGAGCAUCUCAGAUGAGUGAGGAAGUAAACACCAUUAUAGAACUUAAGAGUGUGAAAGAAGGGGAGCAAUUUCUGAAAGUCAUCCCACUUCCACGGCGUCAGUCAAGUCCGACUCUUGGUGAGAGUCAGGAUGAGGACAUGGACGCUACGGAUGCAGGGCGACUACGUCGCUCCUCGAGCUACAAAGGUACAGAAUCAGACUCCACACUCAAGGAUGAUGAUGCUUCCACAACUAAAUCUAGUGAUAGAGACUCUAAGAAGUUACAUAAAACACCCUGGGGAAGGGUGAAAGAUAUGAUUCAUACUAGGAAAGAUAGUUUAAAGAAAAAGAAAAAAGGCGACUUAGAUGUGAGCGAGUGUUCCGAAGCAGACGCGGAAGCACUUGAUGAACAUUUACGUAGUGACCAGUUCGGAGAGGGUGUGAUGAGUCGGUCAACCCCACGUACGUCCCCCAUAGCGAUUCGGCAACGUGGCUCCAAGAGCUGUAGUGAGUCCCCACCUACCCUCGGCGUGGGGAAGACGUCGCCCACCAGACCCUCUCUGCCCUCAGGAAGUCCAGGAGACAUGGCAGCGUUGCUUGCAACGGGUGUUUCCGACGAGUACAUUAAGAAACUUCAGGAGUGGGAGACGUUGAAGACGAGGAAGUCAUUGUCAUCACAGAAAGCUGUUAUGGAGGAGAGCAACGUCACAAGUCCAGACAGUUCCUUUCUAUCCCAGGAUUCCACGGCCACGGACCGAAGCAAAGCUAGAGGUUCGUCCCCACAUCGACCACACAGUAGAGAUAGUUCUGGGGAGGAAUCAGUUGAUGACAUCACCCCAGCCGACGUCAGUCCGUCUGUUAAUGUGGACGACCUCCAGCGAAGAAUCACUGAAAGUUUCAGUCGCAAACUUCAGGAGUGGGAGCGAAUUAAAUAUCGCCGAGAAACGAAAGAAGGAAGUCCUGAGAUAGAGAGGAAGGGUAGUAAGAGUCGGAAAGACGAACGUCAGAAAAGUAAAAAGUCCCGAGAAGAAAAGGAAAAGGAGAAGAUGGAGAAACAACGUGAGCGAGACUUGCAGAAGGUGGAACGCGAGCAGGUCAAGCUGGAGAAGGAGAAGAUGAGGCUUGAGAAGGAAAGGCUCCGAGCGUUAGAGCGGGAGGCCAAGUUGGAGAAGAUGAAGGGAAGGCUAAGUCAGUCGGAUGAGUCAUCUUUCCGGAACCCCAUCAUCAGCCCCAUGGCAGAGUACAAGGUCACUGCAGACUUCGCUCGGAAGCUUCAUGAAUGGGAGGUGAUGAAAGGGUUGUCACAUGACAUCUCCACCGCCAUCUACCUGGAGGCUCAGAAGCGAAGCUUACAGCAAUCACGAGAGGCUCAGGAAACAGCAACGGUUAAAUCCGAGCCCCAGACCUCACCAACAGGUGGAGCCACUGGUGGAGCCGGUCAAGGCGCCAGACCCAAGUCCAGCAAACCUCCACCAUUGACUCUACAGCCUUACUGGGACUCCCCUGAAGAGACCUCACCUAUAGAAAAGUCCUCGGAGACCAGCGUCGGGGACGACACCAGCAUCACGGAGGAGGGCACCACCAUCAUGAAGUCCAACAUUGCCAGUGUCGAUUCAUUUGACAGUCUGGAGCGAGCAAAUCUCCAACUCCUUGAGGAGCUUCAGAGGAAGGAACUAGAGUAUGCAGCAAUUCAGGAGGAAGUUCUUGACCUCAACGAGAAGCUUUCUCUGGUCCGAGACGAACAUUCGACCGAGAUGGGUACUGGAGCCCUUCAUAUAUUCUCCCGCUACAGAAAGCAGCUGUCUUCAGGAGGAGGCACGCCCCAGGCUGUCAAGUUGGAGGUCGGGGCACUGGAGGCCACUGUGGCUGACCUCGAGCAGAAGAUCAAACAGCUGGAUGGUGUGGGCGAGAAGUUGGCCGAAUCGAUGGAAACUGCUGCUGUUGGGAAAUGGCAGAGUAUAGAGGGUGAGGAACUGGUCAGCAUCCAGCUGAUGGAGUUGGUGGAGCAGAUGAGGGUCAUGCUGUUACAGGCGUCGCAGUCACGCGAGGCCUCUCAGAAGUCAUCUGCUCUACACAACUUUGAGAAGCUGUACAGCCAGGCCAUGCAGCUGCAAGUCCAGAUGAACAACCUCCGCCUGAGUCACCUCCAGCGGAACAAGGAGAUCAUGGACAUCAAGCGGCAGCUGCUGCUACAGGAAGUCAACAACCUGCUGCUCCAGGCUGACAUCACACGCCGCGAGUCCGAGCUCUACCAGUACCAGGAGUCUCGCCAUCCUGCCACCGUCAAACGAUGGAACACAUUCGGAGGCGCGGACCGCGGGGUUAGAGUGGUGGAGGGCCGCGAGGCAGAUCGGCCACCACUGCAGCGAUUUAUGAGUUUGAAGGAGUCGGAAGUGACUUCCAGUGAUGACAGCUCUCAGCCGCCUGAGAAACGUGACUCCAUUCCAUCAAAAACAGCUUUGGAAACGAGGAAGCAAGAAAAAGUAAGAGAGCCUAUUGAGCGACAGCCGGCUGAUGGUGUUGUGUCAGUGUCGUCUGCUGAUCGGGACAGAAUUCAUUCCAAAUCUGUUUUAGAACAGGAUGAACAAACCACUGACAAUGUUGAAAAACACUUGCAAACCACGAAAGGAAGUGAUAAAACGCCUCUAGAACGCAAAGCUUCUAUACAUGAUGAUAACCUUGAAGUAGUAUGCACUCUUAGUUUGCCUACUGCACUUGUUUCUCUGCCCAAGGAUAUAUCAAAGACUGAGUUAAAUGUCCCUAAAGUGGAGAAGGGGUCUCCCACUUUGGAGACGUGUGUUGCUAAGCAACCAGUGAGUAGAACCUCUGAGGGCGCUGCUUCCAGCCAGUCGCAACAAGUAACAGAGACCCCUGAUGAACCCAUUCCAGAGCGGCUUCGAGGUCUGGACAAACCCAGACUCGUCAAGUCUGCCAAGAUCAUUGAUGAUGAAUAUUCCCCGACUGAAACUGUGAUGAAGUGUACAGAAAUGCCUACAUCAGUAGAAUCGUAUAAAGUUGAGAGUGGUCCUGUGCACAAGACUACUCAAGAUGUAGAUAUUACAGUCCACGGGAAACCUGCUCAGAGUCCAAAGAUUAAGUCCCAGCACCCAGCGAGAGCUCGGGAUGCACCACACAGGGAAACUGAGGACAGCGGGAGCACCUCCCCAAAGUCAGAGUCCGGCGCUACUGCGGCAAAACCACCACUGCCACCAUUCACACAAAGCACACCAGUGAGCACACAUUCCCCACGACCUCGUGCGUAUUUAGAUCCUGAGGUCCGAUCACAUAGUGCAGGCGAAAUCUCCCAUCAGAGUGGAGGCGAUGAUAAACCAUUGUCAGACAUGAUCAAGAAGUUUGAGAAACGUGCCACUGUCUGCGAGACAGCGCAGCACACUUUCGAGUUACGGAAAACCCCAAGUCCGACGCUGUACCUGCCGCAGGUGGGUUUGGUGUCACCGGUGCGUCGCCUCAAGCCGGCCGCGGAGCUCCUAAAGGAGAGUCAGCGGUACCGGAGUGGCCACACCGUGUACUCUGCCCGCCUGCGCCAACGCUACCUCAAAGAAGAGGAAGGCCGACAGCAACAACAAGAAAGGGCAAAGAGCCAUGACAAAGAAAACAUCUCCGCAAGCUAUGUACAAACCAUGGUACAAAGACUAUCAAGAGAGGGCACACCCACAAAAAGUGUGGAUUCUUCCAAAAAUAAUUCCUCAUUAUCAUUACAAAGAAGUGAUUCUCCGCGCACUCAAUCCGAGUUUGUUUCGCAUAUUGUACGCAAACUUUCCUCUCCCAGUGGACCAGAGCAUAAGUUCAUUGUCCCCCUGAAAGAUGUGACUAAUGAUGGACAGGUUAAGAAACUAGCAGAAGUGUUUGACACUUCGCCUAGUCCGAAGUCUUCCCCUGAAAGGACUUUCUCCGAUUCAGAAGUCAGAGAAUACCGGAAAAGAGAGAAAAGCCGAGUGCCUCCCUCACAACGCAGGUCUUGUGAGCUGGGGGCACUCCAUGACCCAAGUUCUGUGAUAUCUAGUGACAGCUCCUUGAAACCAGAUUCAACUAUAAGUCCCACAAACCAUCAAUCCAUGCCAUUGUUGUUCGGGACAGAGAGACAGGCCUCGCUGGAGUGCGCUCAGAGGGACCGGAGCGCCACCUAUAGUGCCAGCGAGCAAACACAAAGUAAGACAGGGAAAAAACCGGAACAUGACGACGAAAUAACUGUUGUCUCUCAAGAAACAUUAUCAUCGUCUUCAUCUCAACAAGCCUCCGCAAGCCUCUCACCCACUCAUGGGGAACAACCUGCAUUCCCAAAGUCACCGAGAUCAGGACACAAAGUCGAUUUCAGUAAACUGCCUUCGCCAAAGUUACACAAACGUUCAGAAGGAGGCAAGAAAAAGAAAAUGGGGACCAUUGGUGUGCUUUGUCAACAAUCAAUGUCAUUUGACCUAGGUGUGACACUUCAUGCAGUAGAACCUGAAUCACAAACAAAAGGUGUGGUUUUCCGCAAAUCAAAGCGUUCGGACUCUACUUCUCCGCCCGCUUCCCAGCGGUUUUCUUCCACCAGUUCGGAAGGGGAGGGGGCACCUGCCUCGCCAACUGAUGACAAGAAACGGUCUCGGAGGCUUCUGGAUUCCAGUUGGCUCCAUAAGCCAAAGAAAUUCUUCAAAGUUUCGAAGUGCACAUGCUGUAACCUUCAGUGUACAUGCCGUCACCAGUAGCUUGCUGUUAUUUCCUCAAUGUCCUGAUUUUCUCUGAUCAGAUGAUACCCAUGGCUGGUUAGGCCGAUAAUGUUCAGUCCGUAGAUGCUGAUUGGUCAGACUACAGACAUGGCAGCACAUGCUGGUGUCGGGGCAGGCUCAGACGUCAGAUGUCGCCCUGAUGGAGCGGACAGAAAAUGCUAUGCAUUAUGGGAAGACCAGGUGUGAUGAGGAGCCCGCCAUGUUGUGCUGGCCGGGCGCUGGCAGCCAUGUUGGAUAUCACCGACUCAGGACGAAGAAGACAACACGGUCCCGCGUCUUGACCUUGACCUUUCCGCAAUUUCCCUAGCAGCUGGCUUCAGUCAGACAUUAUUUCGCUUAUUCAUUUCGUCGUCAGAUCAUAUCUUGUCAUCAUCAUAUUCACGGACGUCAUCAUCAUCAGAAACAUCCUCAUCACCAUUACUGUUGUCAGUGUAGACGUGAUCAUCGUUCCCAGCUAGAGCUCGUGUACAGCAAUAGUAAAACAUGUCAGCGCGGACUGACUCUCUUCAUACAUGGUGCUGAACUUAUUUGUAAAUGUUUGUCUUCAGUUUGUAAAUAUUGUUUGUAAAGAGGAGAUGUGCAGUGCAGCACCCGGGUGUCGCACGGAACUUCAGUGUACAGAAAGUGUACAAAAUUCUUCUAAGAUAUACUACAUCAAUUUCACUGUGUAGAUACAACCUUCAGUUGGUCUGUGUAAAAUGCAAGUGUACAGUUCAUCAAAGAAGCUGUUGAAAAUACUCAAGUUGUGUUCAUAUUUCAAUGCAAAAGCUAAGCUGGUUAUGUAUAUUAUGAACAUGUGAUAUGAAGAAAGUGGAACCUCCAGAUCUCUGGGGGACGUCAUGACCAGUAUUACCCCUUCCAGAACAAUCCUGACAGCAAUCGGCUGUUACAAAUCUAGAUUAUCGUUCUUCUGUGAUGAGCUGAUAUGGCACAUCUUUCUCCACUUCUAUUUAUUCCAUACUCUUUCAGGUACUGUUGGGGCUUUGUUCUAUCCCAGCAGCAGCAAGUUGGCCAGAUGCUGUCUUUGGACAAAUUAUCGCUGAAUUCAUACAGAAAAGCGUUGUGUUAUUUAAGGCAACUGACAACACCUUUAUACAAGCUGAAGCUAAAUCUCCACAUCUUUCAGUGCCCCUGUUUACAUAUAGAUAAGACUUUAAUAAACACGCUAUAUCUAUUUGUAGUAAGACAAGCAGAGCACAGCAUCCAAGUGAAGGCACGCAUACUUGCAAGCACUCAAGCAGACCUAAGCAUCUAUGUAACUUAAGAACUUAAGUAGAUAUGCUAAGCAUUAUGUAAUUUAAGCACUUUUAAACAAAGCUAAGCAUCAUUGUGAUUCCAGUAUGUAUGUACCAUAGAUAAGCGUCCGAGUUCAGAUAUGAGCAGCAUCUGGCCAAGCUGUCUUACUGUAUGAUCUCUCUUCUAUUCCCUAGUGCCAAACAUUGAGGUGUGGCACUGACCGCGUUCUCAGCCACCAGGACUGUCCACAGCUCUACCCUAGGUACCUUGGUACCAUGCUACCUGGAUGUAACGUUGUGGACUGUCCACAGCUCUACUCUAGGUACCUUGGUACCAUGCUACCUGGAUGUAAUGUUGUGGACUGUCCACAGCUCUACCCUAGGUACCUUGGUACCAUGCUACCUGGAUGUAACGGUGUGGACUGUCCACAGCUCUACCCUUGGUACCAUGCUACCUGGAUGUAACGUUGUGGACUGUCCACAGCCCUACCCUAGGUACCUUGGUACCAUUCUACCUGGAUGUAACAUUGUGGACUAUCAACAGCCCUACCCUAGGUACCUUGGUACCAUGCUACCUGGAUGUAACGUUGUGGACUGUCCUGGGGUGUGUGAGCAAGCUGGCGGGCAGCAACUUGGUGCAGCUCUCUUGGCUGAUGCACAUCUCUGAUCAAGAGUAAAUGUAUCAAAGUC